RNAcentral lists this ribosomal RNA (301 nucleotides) under uncultured bacterium. RNAcentral's name for it is "partial 16S ribosomal RNA". It matches the Rfam family "Bacterial small subunit ribosomal RNA", at positions 509 to 807 of the family's 1533-position model. The record is from RNAcentral.
CAGCCGCCGCGGGAAUACAGAGGGUGCGAGCGUUAAUCGGAUUUACUGGGCGUAAAGCGUGCGUAGGCGGCUUUUUAAGUCGGAUGUGAAAUCCCUGAGCUUAACUUAGGAAUUGCAUUCGAUACUGGGAAGCUAGAGUAUGGGAGAGGAUGGUAGAAUUCCAGGUGUAGCGGUGAAAUGCGUAGAGAUCUGGAGGAAUACCGAUGGCGAAGGCAGCCAUCUGGCCUGAUACUGACGCUGAGGUACGAAAGCAUGGGGAGCAAACAGGAUUAGAUACCCGAGUAGUCCCUGUCUCUUAUAC